CGGGAGGUAAUGUCUGGGAAACUGCCUGAUGGAGGGGGAUAACGUACUGGAAACGGUAGCUAAUACCGCAUAACGUCGCAAGACCAAAGUGGGGACCUUCGGGCCUCAUGCCAUCAGAUGUGCCCAGAUGGGAUUAGCUAGUAGGUGGGGUAACGGCUCACCUAGGCGACGAUCCCUAGCUGGUCUGAGAGGAUGACCAGCCACACUGGAACUGAGACACGGUCCAG
This 227-nucleotide ribosomal RNA is filed under the name uncultured bacterium. RNAcentral's name for it is "partial 16S ribosomal RNA". It matches the Rfam family "Bacterial small subunit ribosomal RNA", at positions 103 to 334 of the family's 1533-position model. The record is from RNAcentral.